GGCCAUGAGUAAAAUCAACACUCCAGUGACAGGCGGCUGUUAAACAGACAGUCCAGCAGGGGGCUUAAUUGCUGGGCCGGCCUAUAAAAGGUGCCGGCUGACGUCAUCCGGGAGCUGGCUCGCUCGUUCGCUCGCUCACUCGCUCACUCGAUCUUGGUUGGGUUUGCCGCUGCCAUGCCACGCUACGCCGCUCCGCUGCUUCGCGCAAGCCACGCGUUCCAGCAGUUUUGUCUCCGUCGCUCCUGCCUGCUCUCGGAGUGAGAG
Long non-coding RNA from Alosa sapidissima (American shad), 264 nucleotides. RefSeq lists it as uncharacterized. The record is from RefSeq and is a predicted model, not a curated record. The transcript has 2 exons. NCBI's taxonomy places the organism in Eukaryota, Metazoa, Chordata, Actinopteri, Clupeiformes, Clupeidae.